This 1836-nucleotide ribosomal RNA is filed under the name human gut metagenome. RNAcentral's name for it is "bacterial LSU rRNA". It matches the Rfam family "Bacterial large subunit ribosomal RNA", at positions 1091 to 2925 of the family's 2925-position model. The record is from RNAcentral.
AGUCAGGAAGUUGGCUUAGAAGCAGCCAUCCUUCAAAGAAAGCGUAAUAGCUCACUGAUCGAGUCUUUCUGCGCGGAAGAUGUAACGGGGCUAAGUCAAUAACCGAAGCCGCGGAUUCACACUUGUGUGUGAGUGGUAGGGGAGCGUUCUGUAAGCCUGCGAAGGUGACUCGUAAGGGUUGCUGGAGGUAUCAGAAGUGCGAAUGCUGACAUGAGUAACGUUAAAGCGGGUGAAAAGCCCGCUCGCCGUAAGCCCAAGGUUUCCUGCUCUACGUUCAUCGGAGCAGGGUGAGUCGGCCCCUAAGGUGAGGCUGAGAAGCGUAACUGAUGGGAACAAGGUUAAUAUUCCUUGACCACCGCUGAAUGCGAAGGGGGGACGGAGUAUUGAAGAUCAUCCGGGUGUUGGAUAUCCCGGUUUGCGAGCGUAGGAGGCUGACAGGCAAAUCCGUCAGCGAAUCUCCGAGGCAAAGCAUCGAGCUCUCUUUUGAGCGAAGUGAUUGGAUGUGCUUCCAGGAAAAGCCUCUAAGCUCCAGUUCAGCGGGACCGUACCGCAAACCGACACUGGUGGGCGAGCUGAAUAUGCUCAGGCGCUUGAGAGAACUCAGGAGAAGGAACUCGGCAAAUUGACACCGUAACUUCGGGAUAAGGUGUGCCUUUGUAGCGUGGAGGGAGAAACACCCCGAGCGCGAAGAGGUCUCAGAUAAUCGGUGGCUGCGACUGUUUAUUAAAAACACAGCACUCUGCAAAGACGAAAGUCGACGUAUAGGGUGUGAUGCCUGCCCGGUGCUGGAAGAUUAAUUGAUGGGGUGCAAGCUCCUGAUCGAAGUCCCAGUAAACGGCGGCCGUAACUAUAACGGUCCUAAGGUAGCGAAAUUCCUUGUCGGGCAAGUUCCGACCUGCACGAAUGGCAUAACGAUGGCCACACUGUCUCCUCCUGAGACUCAGUGAAGUUGAAGUGUUUGUGAUGAUGCAAUCUCCCCGCGGCUAGACGGAAAGACCCCAUGAACCUUUACUGUAGCUUUGCAUUGGACUUUGAACCGAUCUGUGUAGGAUAGGCGGGAGCCUGUGAAACCACAACGCCAGUUGUGGCGGAGGCGUCCUUGAAAUACCGCCCUGAUUUGUUUGAGGUUCUAACCUGGGACAGUCAUCCUGUCCGGGGACCGUGCAUGGUAGGCAGUUUGACUGGGGCGGUCUCCUCCUAAAGGGUAACGGAGGAGUGCGAAGGUACGCUAGGUACGGUCGGAAAUCGUGCUGAUAGUGCAAUGGCAAAAGCGUGCUUGACUGCGAGACCCACAAGUCGAGCAGAUACGAAAGUAGGUCAUAGUGAUCCGGUGGCUCUGUAUGGAAGGGCCAUCGCUCAACGGAUAAAAGGUACUCUGGGGAUAACAGGCUGAUACCGCCCAAGAGUUCAUAUCGACGGCGGUGUUUGGCACCUCGAUGUCGGCUCAUCUCAUCCUGGGGCUGUAGCCGGUCCCAAGGGUAUGGCUGUUCGCCAUUUAAAGAGGUACGUGAGCUGGGUUUAAAACGUCGUGAGACAGUUUUGUCCCUAUCUGCCGUGGGCGCUGGAAGAUUGACGGGGGCUGCUCCUAGUACGAGAGGACCGGAGUGGACUCACCUCUGGUGUACCGGUUGUCACGCCAGUGGCAUCGCCGGGUAGCUAUGUGGGGAAGAGAUAACCGCUGAAAGCAUCUAAGCGGGAAACUUGCCUGAAGAUAAGUCUUCCUGGAGGCUAGACCUCCCUAAAGAGUCGUUCGAGACCAGGACGUUGAUAGGAUGGGUGUGUAAGUGCUGUGAGGCACUCAGCUAACCAUUACUAAUUGCUCGUGAAGCUUGAUCC